CUGUUGAAAACGUCAUCUGACAAGUCACACUCAGACUAUGAAUAUGUGCUUUUUUGCAAUAUUUUUCCCUUUAACGAACGAAAACACUACACAAACGCGAACCAAUGAGUUUGGAAAAUGUCCCUCAGGUCAGUCAACUGUCUGUUGUCAGGUUAGCGCCCACAGAGCCGCACCUGCUCCUCACCUGGACAGAGCAGAGCACUGGCAGGUGACAUGAAGCUGACACAGGACAGAUGUAAUAACGAGCUUCUACUGUGUGGACGGAGGAUUCACCCUCAGGGCACAGUCUACCGGAGCCCCCCUGACCUCUCUGUCACCCCUUCCUAACCCACGUUAGCCAAGGCAUCCUGGGAACAAGAAAGAAAAUGAAGGAACACUCUGCUGCGUCUUAGCGUCCGCAGAGCCAAAUCACAACCAGACCCGUUUGUACAGGGGAUAGGCAGUGCCCACCCAGGCAGGCAGCCCCUCUAGCCCUGGUCAGCCAUAGAAGAGGUUCAUCCCAGUGGGUUGACCUCGCUUUCAUCUGAUCAUGGGUCUGAGCUGUUCUCUCACACCCAGCACUGCUGCAAGGGCAACAUAUUAGCUAAGGGAGGAGGUUUGCUCCAGUUCUUGUGUGUGUGGCAUCUAAAUUUGAUUGAAAUUAGUUCAUUUUUGGGAAUCUGUUAUGGACGUGAAUGUAGAUCCAAAUAUAUCCUGUUGAAGUAGCCAGUUGGAUGUCCUUUCCACAUGAUUUUAUGCUUCAGUUUGUGCUUUGUUGAGUAGCGUUAUAGGUCCCAUGACUGCAGUACACUCUUCUCUUUUUCCACCCAUUCUCAUGUCUCUCCAUGGACUCACUUUUCCCAUCUCUCUGCCUUUUUCUUAUAUCUGUCUCUCAGGCUCGAUGGAAAGGCAAGGACAGACAACUUUACAUGUACACACACACACACACACACACACACACACACACACACACACACACACACACACACACACACACACACACACACACACACACAUGCAGACACACAGCACCCCCACCUCUGCUGACCUCUUCUUCAUCUCCCACAAGGCCUUGGGGUGAGGCAGCCUGGCACCAGACAGUUAUUCAAACCCUCAGGCAGCUUCACUACAGGUCGGAGACAGAAACAGAAACAGAGACAGUGUGAGAGAGAGAGAGAGAGAGAGAGAGAGAGAGAGAUGUAUUCUCAGCUGAUAAUAUACUGAUUAACUGGUGUCUUAGCUUCAUAUGGGGGAGGAGGACUAGAGAGAACUGAAACUUUGUGAAGCCUUUUAAAAAUAAUUUCAAUGAAUGUUGGGCAUUGUUUGCUGGAUUUACAUCAAAAUUUCCUUUAGAAAUAGAAAAAUACAAAAUAAAAUUAAAGUCUAAGAAAUUAAUUAGCUUCUUUGACUUUAGUUAUUGCCUUUGUAGAUUCCUCUCAGUCUUUAAACCCAUGCCUUUAAAACAGAAAAAUGUGUUAUUCAGCCAUAAAUUAAUUUUGUUUUUUAUUAUGUUUCAUUUAAUUUUUAAUCCCAUGAAACAGGAAAUAAAAGCAGUGGGAUGCUGUGAUUGGAUUAAAAGUCGUCUUCGUAAACAUUGUGACCCAUGUCUUUGACACACCUCCUUUCUCCUCUUGAAGAAAG
This is a long non-coding RNA of Acanthopagrus latus (yellowfin seabream), 1620 nucleotides long. RefSeq lists it as uncharacterized. The transcript has 3 exons. The record is from RefSeq and is a predicted model, not a curated record. NCBI's taxonomy places the organism in Eukaryota, Metazoa, Chordata, Actinopteri, Spariformes, Sparidae.